RNAcentral lists this ribosomal RNA (774 nucleotides) under uncultured Neocallimastigales. RNAcentral's name for it is "partial large subunit ribosomal RNA". It matches the Rfam family "Eukaryotic large subunit ribosomal RNA", at positions 24 to 642 of the family's 3401-position model. Lineage: Eukaryota; Fungi; Neocallimastigomycota; Neocallimastigomycetes; Neocallimastigales. The record is from RNAcentral.
UAUCUCUGUAGAGUCUGCAUAUCAAUAAGCGGAGGAAAAGAAACUAACAAGGAUUCCCCUAGUAACGGCGAGUGAAGCGGGAAGAGCUCAAAUUUGAAAUCUUCAAGGUUUGACCUUGACGAAUUGUAGUUUAAAGAAGUGUUUUCGGUUAGAGGAGUAGUAAAAGUUCUUUGGAAUAGGACAUCAUAGAGGGUGAGAAUCCCGUAUUUGACUAUUCUUUCUAGCUCUGUGAUACACUUUCAAAGAGUCGGAUUGUUUGGGAAUGCAGUCCAAAAUGGGUGGUAAAUUUCAUCUAAAGCUAAAUAUUGGCGAGAGACCGAUAGCGAACAAGUACCGUGAGGGAAAGAUGAAAAGAACUUUGAAAAGAGAGUUAAACAGUACGUGAAAUUGUCAAAAGGGAAGCGUUUGACACCAGUGUUGUUUUUCCGAAAAUCAAUUAAAAAUUGAUUCAUGCCAGGUUGUAUUGACCUUAUCAGCUUGCAAUUUGGUUUUGGGUCUCUUUUUGAUGCACUUUUCGGUUAACAAGUCAACAUCAAUUUCCUUUGCUGUAAAAAGGUAAGAGGAAGGUGGCUUCAAUUUCGGUUGAAGCGUUUAUAGCCUUUUAUCUCUGCAGUCGGAGAGAUUGAGGUCUGCAGCGUAGAUCCUUCGGGGCUAGAUACAUUUAUGCUAAGUUAUAGCUUUUCAUAGACAACUUGUUGACUAUGUUUAGUCAUGUAGCUUACUCGUAAGUGCUAUUUUACCUACGCUUAGGAUGUUGAGCGCAUGUCUCUCUCU